This 65-nucleotide transfer RNA is filed under the name Eretes sticticus. RNAcentral's name for it is "tRNA-Arg". Lineage: Eukaryota; Metazoa; Arthropoda; Insecta; Coleoptera; Dytiscidae. The record is from RNAcentral.
AAAUAAGAAGUAAAAUUUUACAUUUAGUUUCGACCUAAAAAUUUGGUAUAUUAUACCCUUAUUUA